RNAcentral lists this ribosomal RNA (253 nucleotides) under uncultured bacterium. RNAcentral describes it as "partial 16S ribosomal RNA". It matches the Rfam family "Bacterial small subunit ribosomal RNA", at positions 524 to 776 of the family's 1533-position model. The record is from RNAcentral.
UACGAGGGGGGCAAAUGUUGUUCGGAAUCAUUGGGCGUAAAGGGUGCGUAGGCGGGUCUUUAAGUCAGGGGUGAAAUCCUGGAGCUCAACUCCAGAACUGCCUUUGAUACUGAGGAUCUUGAGUACGGGAGAGGUGAGUGGAACUGCGAGUGUAGAGGUGAAAUUCGUAGAUAUUCGCAAGAACACCAGUGGCGAAGGCGGCUCACUGGCCCGUUACUGACGCUGAGGAGCGAAAGCAUGGGGAGCGAACAGG